AUGGAGCCCCGUGCUCUCGCUCUCAUCUCCGUCCUCUUCCUCUCUCUGCUUCGCACCGCCACGGCCACCACCGCUGGAACCGCAGACGGCACGGAGCGGUGGGGAUACGUGGAGGUUCGGCCCAAGGCUCACCUGUUCUGGUGGUACUACAAGAGCCCCCAGGCCCAGAGGGUGUCCACGCCCACCAAGCCAUGGCCGACCGUCCUCUGGCUGCAGGGUGGCCCGGGAGCGUCGGGCGUCGGGCUCGGCAACUUCCUGGAGGUCGGGCCGCUCAACGGCGACCUGAAGCCACGCAGCUCGACAUGGCUGCACAAGGCCGACCUCAUCUUCGUGGACAACCCAGUAGGCGUCGGGUACAGCUACGUGGAGGACGACAGCCUGCUGGUGACCACCGACCUGCAGGCGGCGGCGGACAUGACCACGCUGCUCAAGGCCCUCGUCAAGGAGCUGACGACCUUGCGGAGCAGCCCGCUGUUCAUCGUCGCCGAGUCGUACGGCGGCAAGUACGCCGCCACGCUCGGCGUCUCCGUCGUCCGGGCCGUCCGCGCCGGCGAGCUCAAGCUCACGCUCGGCGGCGUGGCGCUCGGAGACAGCUGGAUCUCGCCGGAGGAUUUCGCGUCUUCGUACGGGACGCUCUUGUUCCAGGUGUCGAGGCUGGAUCGCAACGGCGCAGACCACGCAAACAAGGACGCACAGGUGGUGAGGCAGCAGGUCGCAGCGGGGCAGUUCAAGCAAGCGCAGGCCACACUCAACCGAAUGCUCAACUGGGUCGUCGUCAACAGCGGCCACGUGGAUGUGUAUAACUUCCUACUGGACACCGGGAUGGACCCGGUCGUCGCGGUAAGCUCAUCGCCGGCGCCGGAGUACUCCAGGUACCUGGAGAGCAAGUCCGUAGGGGACUCGAUUCAGGAGGCCAUGAAUGGAGCCAUCAAGCGAAAGCUCAAGAUCGUCCCCAAAGACGUAGUAUGGCAGGCGCAAUCCUACAGCGUCUAUUAUGCGCUGAUCAACGAUUUCAUGAAGCCGAGGAUUCACGAGGUUGAUGAGCUCCUGUCGUAUGGUGUCAAUGUGACCGUGUACAAUGGGCAGCUCGAUGUGAUCUGCUCGACCGUCGGCGCAGAAGCAUGGGUUCAGAAGCUCAAAUGGGAUGGACUGAAGAACUUCUUGGCCCUGCCAAGACAGCCUCUCUACUGUGGCUCGGCUGGAGCCACCAAGGGCUUUGUUAGAUCCUACAAAAACCUUCAUUUCUACUGGAUCCUUGGAGCAGGGCACUUUGGUGCCUGUUGA
This 1284-nucleotide ribosomal RNA is filed under the name Triticum aestivum (bread wheat). RNAcentral's name for it is "partial small subunit ribosomal RNA". Lineage: Eukaryota; Viridiplantae; Streptophyta; Magnoliopsida; Poales; Poaceae. The record is from RNAcentral.